RNAcentral lists this ribosomal RNA (1006 nucleotides) under bacterium. RNAcentral's name for it is "bacterial SSU rRNA". It matches the Rfam family "Bacterial small subunit ribosomal RNA", at positions 76 to 1095 of the family's 1533-position model. The record is from RNAcentral.
CAGCUUGCUGGGUGGAUUAGUGGCGAACGGGUGAGUAACACGUGAGUAACCUGCCCCUGACUCUGGGAUAAGCGUUGGAAACGACGUCUAAUACUGGAUAUGAUCACUGGCCGCAUGGUCUGGUGGUGGAAAGAUUUUUUGGUUGGGGAUGGACUCGCGGCCUAUCAGCUUGUUGGUGAGGUAAUGGCUCACCAAGGCGACGACGGGUAGCCGGCCUGAGAGGGUGACCGGCCACACUGGGACUGAGACACGGCCCAGACUCCUACGGGAGGCAGCAGUGGGGAAUAUUGCACAAUGGGCGAAAGCCUGAUGCAGCAACGCCGCGUGAGGGAUGACGGCCUUCGGGUUGUAAACCUCUUUUAGUAGGGAAGAAGCGAAAGUGACGGUACCUGCAGAAAAAGCACCGGCUAACUACGUGCCAGCAGCCGCGGUAAUACGUAGGGUGCAAGCGUUGUCCGGAAUUAUUGGGCGUAAAGAGCUCGUAGGCGGUUUGUCGCGUCUGCUGUGAAAUCCCGAGGCUCAACCUCGGGCUUGCAGUGGGUACGGGCAGACUAGAGUGCGGUAGGGGAGAUUGGAAUUCCUGGUGUAGCGGUGGAAUGCGCAGAUAUCAGGAGGAACACCGAUGGCGAAGGCAGAUCUCUGGGCCGUAACUGACGCUGAGGAGCGAAAGCAUGGGGAGCGAACAGGAUUAGAUACCCUGGUAGUCCAUGCCGUAAACGUUGGGCGCUAGAUGUAGGGACCUUUCCACGGUUUCUGUGUCGUAGCUAACGCAUUAAGCGCCCCGCCUGGGGAGUACGGCCGCAAGGCUAAAACUCAAAGGAAUUGACGGGGGCCCGCACAAGCGGCGGAGCAUGCGGAUUAAUUCGAUGCAACGCGAAGAACCUUACCAAGGCUUGACAUACACCGGAAACGGCCAGAGAUGGUCGCCCCCUUGUGGUCGGUGUACAGGUGGUGCAUGGUUGUCGUCAGCUCGUGUCGUGAGAUGUUGGGUUAAAUCCCGCAACGA